This 253-nucleotide ribosomal RNA is filed under the name uncultured bacterium. Its description in RNAcentral is "partial 16S ribosomal RNA". It matches the Rfam family "Bacterial small subunit ribosomal RNA", at positions 524 to 776 of the family's 1533-position model. The record is from RNAcentral.
UACGUAGGGUGCGAGCGUUAAUCGGAAUUACUGGGCGUAAAGCGUGCGCAGGCGGUUUUGUAAGCCAGAUGUGAAAGCCCCGGGCUUAACCUGGGAAUGGCAUUUGGGACUGCAAGGCUGGAGUGUGGCAGAGGAGACUGGAAUUCCCGGUGUAGUGGUGAAAUGCGUAGAUAUCGGGAGGAACACCGGUGGCGAAGGCGGCCAACUGGACGAAUACUGACGCUGAGACACGAAAGCGUGGGGAGCAAACAGG